GAGAUAGAUAUUUGUGUUGAGAUGUGACAAAGCCUUUAGAGGUUCUUUGUUUAUCAUUAUGCUCUGCUCCAUCUCUUAAGCUAAAACAAAAUGGAUGGGUUGGAAACUUUGCGCUUGGAGCAAGCUAUAUCAGUUUGCCAUGGUGGGCUGGGCAAGCAUUGUUUGGCACUGAUGCUGCAAAAUGGAUAUGCGUUAGUGCUAUAGACGUUACUCAGCUCUCUGUUUCCGGUAUGUAGUAUGACUUCUAUUUCUUGUGCUUGAUCUUAUGAACUAGAUGAUCAUUAGUGAAUGUCUAUUCUGGUUGCAGUGUAUCUUGUGA
Molecule: long non-coding RNA, 319 nt
Organism: Brassica oleracea var. oleracea
Lineage: Eukaryota; Viridiplantae; Streptophyta; Magnoliopsida; Brassicales; Brassicaceae
Exons: 3
Source: RefSeq, a predicted model, not a curated record